GCGGGUGUAAUCUAGCCUGGUAGGAUGCAAGCCUCCCGAGCUUGUCGCCCGGGUUCAAAUCCCGGCACCCGCA
RNAcentral lists this transfer RNA (73 nucleotides) under Thermoplasmata archaeon. RNAcentral describes it as "tRNA-Gly". It matches the Rfam family "tRNA". From Rfam's summary of the family: Transfer RNA (tRNA) molecules are approximately 80 nucleotides in length. Their secondary structure includes four short double-helical elements and three loops (D, anti-codon, and T loops). Lineage: Archaea; Methanobacteriati; Thermoplasmatota; Thermoplasmata. RNAcentral also lists the same sequence under 1 other name. The record is from RNAcentral.